RNAcentral lists this ribosomal RNA (443 nucleotides) under uncultured Leptotrichia sp. Its description in RNAcentral is "bacterial SSU rRNA". It matches the Rfam family "Bacterial small subunit ribosomal RNA", at positions 338 to 795 of the family's 1533-position model. The record is from RNAcentral. Lineage: Bacteria; Fusobacteriati; Fusobacteriota; Fusobacteriia; Fusobacteriales; Leptotrichiaceae.
CCUACGGGAGGCAGCAGUGGGGAAUAUUGGACAAUGGAGGAGACUCUGAUCCAGCAAUUCUGUGUGCACGAAGACGGUUUUCGGAUUGUAAAGUGCUUUCAGCAGGGAAGAAGAAAGUGACGGUACCUGCAGAAGAAGCGACGGCUAAAUACGUGCCAGCAGCCGCGGUAAUACGUAUGUCGCGAGCGUUAUCCGGAAUUAUUGGGCAUAAAGGGCAUCUAGGCGGAUAUACAAGUCAGGGGUGAAAACUUAGGGCUCAACUCAAAGCUUGCCUUUGAAACUGUAUAUCUAGAGUGCUGGAGAGGUGGACGGAACUACACGAGUAGAGGUGAAAUUCGUAGAUAUGUGUAGGAAUGCCGAUGAUGAAGAUAGUCCACUGGACAGCAACUGACGCUGAAGUGCGAAAGCUAGGGGAGCAAACAGGAUUAGAUACCCGAGUAGUC